AGAAAAAACGAAGAACCAAAGACAGUAGGAGCUUUUAAAGCUUAAUAAUUAUCCUACCGAGGGGAAAGUUAAGAAUCUUUUGAGUCUUUAAAACUUCCCCAUGGGAAGUUUUUU
Molecule: small RNA, 114 nt
Filed under: bovine gut metagenome
Description: Ribosomal protein L10 leader
Rfam family: Ribosomal protein L10 leader
About the family: This family is a putative r-protein leader autoregulatory structure found in B. subtilis and other low-GC Gram-positive bacteria. It is located in the 5' untranslated regions of mRNAs encoding ribosomal proteins L10 and L12 (rplJ-rplL). A Rho-independent transcription terminator structure that is probably involved in regulation is included at the 3' end.
Source: RNAcentral